This 448-nucleotide ribosomal RNA is filed under the name uncultured bacterium. Its description in RNAcentral is "bacterial SSU rRNA". It matches the Rfam family "Bacterial small subunit ribosomal RNA", at positions 330 to 792 of the family's 1533-position model. The record is from RNAcentral.
CCCAGACUCCUACGGGAGGCAGCAGUGGGGAAUAUUGGGCAAUGGGCGCAAGCCUGACCCAGCAACGCCGCGUGAAGGAAGAAGGCUUUCGGGUUGUAAACUUCUUUUGUCAGGGACGAAGCAAGUGACGGUACCUGACGAAUAAGCCACGGCUAACUACGUGCCAGCAGCCGCGGUAAUACGUAGGUGGCAAGCGUUAUCCGGAUUUAUUGGGUGUAAAGGGCGUGUAGGCGGGAAUGCAAGUCAGAUGUGAAAACCAUGGGCUCAACCCAUAGCCUGCAUUUGAAACUGUAUUUCUUGAGUGCUGGAGAGGCAAUCGGAAUUCCGUGUGUAGCGGUGAAAUGCGUAGAUAUACGGAGGAACACCAGUGGCGAAGGCGGAUUGCUGGACAGUAACUGACGCUGAGGCGCGAAAGCGUGGGGAGCAAACAGGAUUAGAUACCCCUGUA